RNAcentral lists this unclassified non-coding RNA (3443 nucleotides) under Leishmania donovani. RNAcentral describes it as "gene:LdHU3.20.1600(CDS-product:Domain_of_unknown_ function_(DUF1935)_putative)". The record is from RNAcentral. Lineage: Eukaryota; Euglenozoa; Kinetoplastea; Trypanosomatida; Trypanosomatidae.
CCCCCUCCGCAACGCUCACACACACACACACACACACACACAGACACACACACACACAGACGGACGCGCGCACAUCCACGGCGGCGGUUUUUUCUGCGCCGUUUUCUUUGUGCCUCCUCUUUUCUCACGCUUGCCCCGCAUUGUCUAGCACGUUGGGACCUUCUCUCCCGCCGUCCAUCCCUUCAAGGGAAGCUCACUCACAUACCCCCCUCCCCUCUCCCUCCCCACACCCACCCGUGUUCGCACAUAAGCGGCUUCUUUGUACAACUACUGCUGCUGCUGCUACAACUCUUCUCCUUGCAGCACCGAGAAGCGUGUUUGCCGCGUUUUUGCGGGACUCUUGUUCUUGUGGCACUCUCCCCUCCCUCUCUUUUCCUUUCCCUCCUCCCCCUCUUCCUCACACUCUGCGCUGUUUUUCUCUUCCCCUCCUCCUCCUCCCUUACGAGAGCCGUGGCUCCCUUGCUGUGUUUGUUAGUCGCCGUUGUCGUGGCUGUGGCGUUGGUACUUUGACGGUCCCGGCCUUCCCGCCCCAACAACCCGCCCUCUCUCUCUCUCUUCACCCCUCCCGCUUCUGCGCACGCUGCAAGCACACACGCACAUCCACCCAGUCGAGACGCCAUUCACACCAUCACUCCUUCUUGCCCAUCGGUUGCUGCAAGACACUGACCAAAAACCAAAGAUGGGGUGCGGAGGAAGCAAGAGCAUCCGCGAGAAGAAGGCCCAGGAGAACACGCCCGAUGCGGCACUCUUUCAUAUAGGUGAUGCGCCAAUGCUCAUCGAGAGCCAUCCGGUCUCGAUGCCGGGGUCACCUGCGGCCGCUUCCACCCUCUCCGCGCCUGCGCCAUUACAUCCUGAGUACGCAGGCGACUAUGAGGCGCAGAAUGCAAUCUCCCCCAAAUCGGGCAAGGCUUCCGCUGCUGGACCGGCGGAGCGCAACACGGGCUCGGAGGCAGAGUCUGCUGCUGCUACUCCAACUGCUGAUAAUGUGUCGGCUGUCAGCACCCCCCAAAAGGAUGACAAGCAGCACGCGGGGAAGCCGAUCACUCUUGACGAGCAGCAACACCAGCUUACUUCUAGGGUUCACGAGGAGAGCCAGGCCCGUUUCAUGGUGGACGAAAGCUCCCCGUAUGUUGGUCCGGGCCCCGCCGUGGAGUUCCCCAUCGAUCACGUCUACCGCUGCUUUGAUGUGGAGAACGGCCUCCUGUUCCGCUUGGUGAACGACAAGCGCCACAUAUGGGCCUUCUACAACGACACAUCCGAGUACACGAUGCGGAUCUCCGUCAAUUUCGGACCCGAGAGCUCUAUAAAGGCUCUCGGCAGCACGCGCCAGGUUUCCCUCGAUGAGACAGGCCAGUGCCAGCUGGUGCUGGAUGUGGCGCCAGGGGAGACCCAGAGCUUCAUGCGCGGCGAGUACAACGGCUUUUACACGUGCUACGACGCCAGUCCGAUUAACGUCGCCACCGACUUUGACGCAUAGGCGAGUCUACCUCGGCGGCAGCGGCGGAGGCGGGCGGGAAGCUUGACAAGCGCAUUGCAGCCGAGCAGCUGAACAGUGCGGCAGCCGAGGUGCACGACAAGACCCGGCAGCCGAUGGAUGCCGUCCCCUGAAGCAUCCGCUGAGGAGAAUUCACCGGCGAAGACGGAGGAUACGGGGCAGGAGGCCAAGACUUCCGCUGCUGCUAAGAAAUCCGUUACUCCGAUGGCGCCACCUGCUGCGGCGCUUGCUGAGACGGAGAUGACACACCACGACACCAAGGCCCACUUUGCCGAGGAGGCUUCUGUGACCGAUCGCAAGGUGAAUGAUGACGUGGUGAGGGUGCCGCAUGAGGUUUAGUGUACUUGUAUGACGAGGCUGUACGCAUACAUGAUGCGCACGCAUGUUGGGCGGAUUCUCUUGGCGCCCAAAAACGUUCUUCUUGUGCUCUGUUUUGGUGUCUCUGCUCUCGCCUCUCCUCUCCUCUCUCCCCCUUUUCUUCUCUCCCGUCGCUAUACAGUUCGUGCAAGAUGCCGAGGGGCCGAUGAGGCACCUGGCCCUCGUGCGCACACACACGUGAGCAACGCGUGCUAUAAUUCCAUUUGUGUGUAUCGGAUGGCGAUGGUGUCUUGUUGAGACUUUGUUGUUUCUCCUCCACUGCCUUCAUUCAUUUUUUCCCUAUUGGUGCGCGUCUUGUUCCCCCCCUCGCUCCUUCUCAUGCUCACCACUUCACCACGCCACCCGCCCCUUUCAAGUGCACACUCAUUUUUCGUUUUUUCUCUCAUCCCUCUAAUGAGUUUCUCCGUCUGCUUUGGUGUCGGCGUCAUUGCUACCUGGCCCUUCCCCUUGUCGUUUGGUAGAGGAGAGAGAGCGAAGUGUGUGUGCGUGUGCCAGUGAGGUGCGCUGAUGAUGGAAUGGGCUAGCUGCUUUGUUUUCAGGCUUGUAGACAUUCGGUGCUUCCUAUCAUUAUGCGUUUCUGCGUGUUCUCGUCUUCGUCCGCCAUGCUUGGCCUAUGCAUGGUACGUGAAAGCGCUUUUAUAAUGUUUACACUCCAACUUCUUCCCUCCCCCUCCCUUCUUCCCCUUUGCGGUCCUACUCUCUCCUGUUCUUCCCAUACGAACCCGUGCAUGCGUCAAGCCUCUCUCUCUGAGAGCAAGUCCCGUGUAUCUGUAUCCAUCGAACCUCGCCCUCCCUCUCGUACUUGCUUCAUGGAAGCAAGGGAGGAAUUACGAUGGGGCGCACUGACUACUUGGCGCGUUGUGUCGAAGGAGUUCAGAGGCAAAGGUGGGUAUGAUGGAUGCGAGCAGUAAUGAGUGGACGGCGAUGCGUGUGCAUUCUCACCGAUGCAUGUAUGACUUUCUUAUCAUGAGAAAGGCGGGUGACGGAUAUAAACGCAGAGGAAAGAGAGGACGCGGCAUCCAAUCACGUAUGCCCCCCUUGAACGCAAUUCUUUGUCGACGCCAAAGAAUAUGCUUGGCGUGUGGCUGUGCCCUUGCAUGUCGACGACAUUGAUGGCCCUAUGCACGGAUGGCGCGUGCGUGCGUGGGAAAGCUUUUAUAGCUUGCCUUUGAGCACAUCCAUUCUCUCCCCCUCCCUGUGUGUGUGUGUAGAUGUGCUUUGUGGUUGCGCUAGUCCACGGGACACUGUUGGCCCAUGCAUACGAAACGCUCUUCGACUUUUUCGCCUUCACUGGUCUCUUAACCUUUCUCCCUUUCCCUCCCUGCUAGUGCACUCGACUCCUGCACGCACCUCUCUCUGUCUUCUUGUAUAUGUCCUUGAGCGCCCCCUACUCUCAUUGCCGCUCCACCGUGAGCAAUGCGGCAAACGCGUUAUGCGGGAGAGGCUGCUGGUGGUGGUGGUGGUGGGGUGAACAGCUCGGCCUAUCUGUCGAUCAGGAGAAGAGAGUGCCGUGUGUGGUGGAGGUAGGGAGGGGAGAAAGCUUCUUUCUCUCUUUGAUUAGCACAAAACG